This 496-nucleotide ribosomal RNA is filed under the name uncultured bacterium. RNAcentral describes it as "partial 16S ribosomal RNA". It matches the Rfam family "Bacterial small subunit ribosomal RNA", at positions 29 to 507 of the family's 1533-position model. The record is from RNAcentral.
AUGAACGCUGGCGGCGUGCCUAAUACCUGCAAGUCGAGCGAACAGAUGAGGAGCUUGCUCCUCUGACGUUAGCGGCGGACGGGUGAGUAACACGUGGAUAACCUACCUAUAAGACUGGGAUAACUUCGGGAAACCGGAGCUAAUACCGGAUAAUAUAUUGAACCGCAUGGUUCAAUAGUGAAAGACGGUUUUGCUGUCACUUAUAGAUGGAUCCGCGCCGCAUUAGCUAGUUGGUAAGGUAACGGCUUACCAAGGCAACGAUGCGUAGCCGACCUGAGAGGGUGAUCGGCCACACUGGAACUGAGACACGGUCCAGACUCCUACGGGAGGCAGCAGUAGGGAAUCUUCCGCAAUGGGCGAAAGCCUGACGGAGCAACGCCGCGUGAGUGAUGAAGAUCUUCGGAUCGUAAAACUCUGUUAUUAGGGAAGAACAAAUGUGUAAGUAACUAUGCACGUCUUGACGGUACCUAAUCAGAAAGCCACGGCUAACUACGUG